RNAcentral lists this long non-coding RNA (5199 nucleotides) under Sus scrofa (pig). RNAcentral describes it as "lncRNA (ENSSSCG00000054716.1, ENSSSCG00110018994.1, ENSSSCG00130015759.1)". Lineage: Eukaryota; Metazoa; Chordata; Mammalia; Artiodactyla; Suidae. The record is from RNAcentral.
AUUUGUACAGUGUCAUGUAAUUUAGAGCCACUCUCAUCUCAAUGACCUCAUUUUAUCUCCACAAAAGUCUUUUAAGUAGAAAAUGUAUUACAUCCUCAUUUUACAAAUAGGCAAACUGAAUUUCUGGUACUAGUGUGCUAUUAAAUGUUUAAAAUCCAACUAUCUGGAAAAAAGAAAAUUUUAAGUUCCUGAUUUAUAAUGUUUGCCCACUGCCAUGGUAUAAACACUCCAACAUGCACUUUUUCAAGCUGCCAACAUGUCCCUGGAUGCAAAGUUAGGAAGAAAGACCGAGAAUCACUGAAUCCUCAUAAGCCUGUUAUGAGCCCACUCCAGCAAAACCCUGGAGUUCAGAGGAAGGGAAAUGACUGAUCCAGGGUCACACAGAUGGUUGAUUCCUGAGCCCACCUUCCUUUCUCUUUAUUAGAGAACAAGGCAGGAACUGAACAUCUGAAAUACUUUAUUUAAAAAAGCAAAAAUAUAGGUACAAGGCUGGACAAAAGAAGGGGUCAGGAGGCCUCAACUUGGUGGAAACUCUCACCUAUACAGGCAGGGGGAGGAGCUACACUACUGCUGCAUGGACUGGUCCAUACCUGUAGUUAUGUUCUGAAGAUGCUAUCUCACAUGUGACACCAAUUGUGAAUCUGGAGAGAAGACUUACCUUGUUUGCCUAAACAGUACAUUAGCCCCAGCCUCCCUGCAAAUGGGUCAUACAUUUCUCAAGCUAUUUUCAGCUCCUCUGCACCUACUCACUUGCAAUACUUGUCAUAACAGGAAAUCAGUUUCAUAUACUGUAAUCCCCAAGCACGUUGCACCUGCACACAGGGAACGUGGGGUGGGGGUGGCGAGGAAAGAGUGGGUAGGCUGGGCCUCCCAGAAGGCUGCCUGGACGAGCCCUGAACCCAUCCCAAGUCUGGGUAUCCCCACUCCAAGGGCACAAGUGUCAGAAAUCAGAAUCCACAUCCAGACAUUAUUUCCCAUUCUCAUGCAGUUGGUAGUUCAUUUUUUUUUUUUAAUAAAGCAUUUGAGUAGGCAGUAAAGCCAGUCAGAACUGUUUAUUUAUAGCUGUGGAUUUUCAAUGCUGUAUAAAUUAGAAAUCAUUGCUGAAUGAGGCCUGCGCCCACUCACACGCAGGGCCGCUAUCUGUGAGUCCUUUCACACAGUUUGACUAUACACAGUCUAAAAUGGGAGAAAAUGACAUGCUCUGAGUCAAAUGACGGAGUCACAGCUAAACUGCAAAGCAGAAAACCAGCAAUUAUUUUUCCUCAGCACAAUAUGGGGAGUACGACAGGUGCAAUUAUCCAAUAUUAUUUAACAGCACCGGUUUGUGGUGUAGGGAGAAAAUAAAGGUUUCUGUGUCUUGGAGAGGAAAAAAAAGAGAAAAAAACCUGCCUUCCAGCUCCUGUUUCUAUGGAUUAGGCUGUGUUAUGUAAAUUGAAACUGGCCUGGAUUCCAAAAAUGGAAGAAGCACCUGGCUUCCUUGCCUGGGCUCCCCAGAAGCCCACCACCUGUGUCAUCAGGGACUUUUGAGAAAGGCCCCUCACCUUGGGGACCCUGAACAUUCUCGUCAGAGGCAGUGGCUCCAGGUAAGACUGCGUCGAAGGACGGUUUCCUGAGCUCCUGUCCUCAGAGGGAAAUGAUCUUCUGCACGGGCUCCCUUCUCUCGGUGAAAUGCAGAUGAGGUAAAAGAGAAGGCAACCCACAAGGAAUAAUUUUUAUUCCUUUAAUCAGAUAUCCCCCUUUUGUCCUUUAGCACAUUUUUAUUCCUACUCCCAAUCCUUCCCUUUACUGGUCCUCCUCCCUGGAAAGACCUCUCUUCUUCUGGCCAUCAUCAAAUAAGUUGGCCCUCAUGAUUUCUGAUCCUAUCUGAGCAUCAAUUCCCAGCUCCUCUAAAAAGUUUUCUCUUACCCCUGCAGGGCAGUGAGCUCUUCCUUUUCAGCUCUUUCUUCUGCAGCAGACCACAUCAGCCCCCUGCAGCAUUUUACUGCUCUCUCCUUCACCUCCCCCCUUGGUUUCUGUUUCCAUAACAGUAUGGAAUGCUAGAGAGAGCAUAAGCUUCCGAAUCAGACCAGAUCUGAAUUUAAAUCCUGACUCUGUCAUUCACUAUUUACAUAGAACCUGGGGAAAACAGUUUACUAUUCUUAGCCUUAGUUCCUUAAAGUCAUGUGAUAAUACCUACUGUGGUUAUAUAAGCUUAUUUAAAGUGAUAGCUACAAGUACCUGGCAUCCAAAAUUGGCCAUUCCAGCUCGCUUAACUGAAAACUCCUUGAGUCCAGGCAGUUGUCUGUAUCCCCCAUAAGACUUAAAUUUGUAACAUUAGAAAGUACUGAAAAUACAUAUAGACUGACUCAAGGGUUAUUUAACAACUUAAUUUUAUAGACUUCAUCACCAAAUAGCUUCCUCCUUUUCUGGAAGCUGAGAGUACCACCACGAGACUCACUGUUUCAUUUAAGAUAUUCUUCCCAUCUUUAAUUCCAGAAUCUUAUUGACAAUGAUGAUCAAAUUAUGGUUUCACAUGAUCCAUCAGUGGAAAGCAUACUGCUACAAUGGGACACAGGACAAAUCAAUUUUGAUGAAAAAAAAAAAGGAGAUGAAGGAAGGCCUGCAGCAUAAAGCCUGCAUGCAAGUGACACCUCAGAUCUGACAACUAGAAUGUCCCUCAUUACCCCAAGGAGAGCCUAACUGGGUACCAGGAUCCAAGUCAGGGAUAUUUAAUCUUUAAAAGACAGUAGGGGUGGGAGGAACAUCAAAAACAAACCUUGUUUAGAUCUGAAUUUAUUUUCCUAUAGGUGCCUGUCCACCCCUUCUUCUCAGAUGAUAUCUGCUAUCAUUGAGGCCUGAUCUAGUUUGACUUUUCUUCAUCAUAACUUCAUCAUAACUUCUUUAGCCACUCCCAUGGUAUAGGUUUUCAGAGACCAUGGGAAGGGCCUUUGCCACCCAGGAUAUCUUACUAAUGUAUCCCCAAAAAAGUCCUUCACUAGAGAUAAAAGCCUUUCAUUUUACAUGGAGAAACAUAUUUUAACACGUAAAUAUUUAGGAGAGUGGUUUUUUUUUUUUUUUUGUUUGUUUGUUUUUGUCUUUUUGCCAUUUCUUGGGCCGCUCCUGCAGCAUAUGGAGAUUCCCAGGCUAGGGGUCCAAUCGGAGCUAUAGCCACCGGCCUACACCAGAGCCACAGCAAUGCAGGAUCCGAGCUGCAUCUGCAACCUACACCACAGCUCACGGCAACGCUGGAUCCUUAACCCACUGAGCAAGGCCAGGGAUCGAACCCGCAACCUCAUGGUUCCUAGUCGGAUUCGUUAACCACAGCGCCACGAUGGGAACUCCAAGAGUGAUCUUUUGACUUGCAUUUAUUCCUGUUCAAUUAUCAAUGAAGUAUGUUCAAUGAUUUAAAAGCAAGUUUUAAUAUGGGAAGAGGUAUGCUUGGAAGAAUAAAAAUGAUAUUGUGAGAAAAGGAAUGGUACAGAAAGGGUCAGCUGCAGACUAAGAGGGCAAAUCUUACUAAGUUCACAAUGGUUUACCUUGUGGCUACCAAGAAAUGACUGGGUGUGUGUGUCUUGACUCUCACCCUCUCUAAGAGAGCCAAUCUAUGGUUAGAGGACCCAAAAUAGAGUAGAUGAUGACCUCGGCCACUGAUGGGUCAGCAAAAUUCUGCAUACCUUUGACGGAGUGGAAAGAGGAGGCACAGCUGCAACAUGCCACACUUUACAAUUCAAGUCUUGACCAACUGGCUGGCACUACAGGAAUUUAAACUUGCUUUACGGCUGAGGAGAGAAGUUAGUGUUCGUUUGUCACCAUUCUUAAGAGAGGAGACAGCAAAGAGAAAAAAUGGAUUCCACCGGCUCCUAAAGAACUUCAGCAGGACUGAACUUCCCCCAAAUUACUUUUCACCCAAACAUCUCAUCAACCAAUCCCAAAGACCCUGAAGUGUUGACUAGAGACUGACACUUUUUGAGGGCAGACUGUGUGGUUUUUUGAGGGCAAGGGUGCAUCUUAUUCACCACUGUAUCCUCCACACAUGGCAAGUGCAUGAUGUACAGUGGACCUUAAAUACACGAGCCUCAGACAGAUUUAGGUAACAUCCUUAAUGUCUCAUGAUGGUAUCAGAAUUCAAAGUCAGAUUAAUCCAACCCAAAUGCACCAACACUCCAUCAGCGGUUUUUAUUAUUUCCUGAUUGAUGCCUUUGGAAUUUAUUUUACAUCAUGGCCUAGUAAACAUAUAUACACACAUACAGACACAGCACACACACACACACACACUUUGGUUUUUUGUUUUUUGGGUUUUUUUUGCUUUUCUAGGGCUGCACCAGCGGCAUAUGGAGGCUCCCAGGCUAGGGGUCUAAUUGGAGCUACAGCUGCUGACCUACACCACAGCUACAGCAAUGCAGGAUCCAAGCCAAGUCUGCAACCUAUACCACAGCUCACGGCCACGCCAGAUCCGUAACCCACUGAGUGAGGCCAGGGAUCAAGCCCGCAACCUCAUGAUUCCUAGGCGGAUUUGUUUCCACUGUGCCACGAUGGGAACUCCAUACUUCUAACAUGUGUGAUAGACUACUUUAUUUUCUAUCCUAUUAUUUGAAAGAUAUUGUGACCAUCAAAUUGAUUUCUCAAUCCAACCUCAGGGCAACAAUCUAUAAGCUGCACAACACUGCAUCCUACUGUACUGUAGGAUUCAUUCAUUCACUGAAUAAGUAAAGUGCCUACCAUGUGUAUGGCCCUGGCCACAUGCAUGCCAUGGCCUGAGGACAGGGAUGAUGGCCAUCCCUCAGGCCGCUUGCAUCUUUUUAUCUUUCAUUCUGUUAGCAACUGCUGUGCUCAGACUCGGCUCCUCUGAGGUGUGACAGGAAGAAGAGAAAAAAUGCUUCCACUACAAGAGCUUAUAAGACCUUCUGCUGAGGCUUAAGCCUGGCCUGAGCCAAUAUAUUUGGUUACACUUUUGGGAUUUGUUUUCACUCAACACUUAAUUUUAUUAAGAUUCAAAUUAUGAAGUUAGAUGAUGUAGAGUUGGGAAAACAAAUACUAUAUGACUUCUACCUUGCCAGGAAUCUGGUACAGGAGUCUGAAAACUCUCAAUCUAGGCAUGUUUUAUUUCAUUGAAAAUUUUUCUAACUAAAUUCUAAAAUGCACUCAUGUUGAUAUUUUAUGUACAUGCAUUAAUUCAACUUUACCAGUUUUUAAAAUCAUGGGGUUCAAUAAAAUUCUACU